AAAAAUUUUUAAGUUAAUUUGCUGACUUGUUAAUUCUUUUACAAAUAAAAAUACAUAAUUAAUGGUUGUUGAUGGAGAAAAAACAUAGAAAGGAGAGAGAUUUAACGACAAGAAAAAUAGCUAAAUGCUUUUCAUGCAUCGUAUAAGCUUGUUGAAUAAUUGGCACCAAUUUUGUCUACAAAGUAACAGGAGCUUCAAAUUUUAAUAAGCUAUCCCAACUCCAAGCUUUCUCACAGGAGAUAAUAAGAUAACCACCUAUCAACCAUUGCUAGACACUCCUUAGGCUUGUACUCUGGAGCUGUAUGACCCCCUCCCUUUACAGUGAUAAAGACCAAACCGUCUCCAACUUUGUGAGCAUAUUUCUCUGUGAAUCCCGCUAUUUGGCCCUCAACAAACCAAGGUCUCCAAUCAUCAACAACGGUUAAAUUAAGAGUGUAAAUCCAUGCUACUGUACCAGUGUAAGGAAUUAGCAUGUCAUGGUCACCACUGUAUACCAGAGCUCGAUAGCCAGUCAUGAUGAGUUCUUUAUGGUAAAAGACAGUACUCAAUAUGUCAUAAUCAUAAGCCAGGGUUUUGUUACACCUCAUCCAAUCUGUUAUGGUAUCAUUUCGAACGUGAAGAGCAUGCUGCACGCCUUCAUCAUUUGCCCAGAUGUAAGAGAGUACAUAAUUUGAAUUCUGCAAAGAAGCACAAGAUUUACAAGAUUUGCAGUUUGAGAUUAGGGUCUAAUAGAGCUAAUCUAAUAUCUGGUGGAUUGCAAGGACUUCUAUCUUAUUAAGGGAGAGAGAGAGAUUUACUCGGCACCAAUUGUCAGGGCCUUGCUGCGAUGAUAAAGCAAUGUCUAUAGGAGUGUCAUCGAAAAAUUUGCGUCCCCACUUCAAGCCCAUUGGUUUUGGUGAUGCAAAACUGCAUUUUGGUUCCAAUAUUUGGGCAUCACAUACUUUUAUAGUGCACUACAAGUUCACACAUUCUCAUUAGUUUAACAAUAAAUAAAUAAAUAAAGGAUACAUUAGAUUGUGAAGAAAAAUGAUAACUCUAUUUAUUUUCCCCCCUCCAUUCAACAACUGAGAGAGAUUUUUUCAAACCUCUGCAAUAUGUUGUAUAGUAUUCAUACAUUCAGCAUUGCUUGCAUUUGGUGAUAUAUAUUCUCCAACACAGUAUGUUUUGGCUGCCUUAAACAGUUCACUCGAUAUAAGUCCCAACCUGUAGAAAUAUUCAACUCUGGAAUUCUCAUCAUUAUGCAAAUCUGUUACUGGAUUACCAAGGAUGUAUCCCUGGAGAUUCAAGUAUGGCUUGUGUUUAGCCCUGUUUCCUUCUGCUACUUCUACAGUAACGGUGGGAACAAUCAUGCCAGAAUAAGAAUCACCAGCGAUAUAAAGUGGAUUAUUGAUGAAUUUGGGAUGAUUUGUUAUCCACUUCCUAAGAAACUCAUAAAUUGCCUUUGACGAUAAUGUGUCAGAGGUAUAAUAACUUUCUUGGCUUUUUGAGUAGGAAAAUCCAGUGCCAACUGGUGAAUCCAAAAAUAUAAUAUUUGCAACCUUUGUCCAUGUGUAUUGAUUUAGUACAAGUGAUGGCAAACUUCCAUUGAAAGCAUCAAAAUCAAAAUUUAGCGGACCUACAAAAAAUUUCAGAAAUCCAUCAGACAUGUUCAAAAGAAUUUGCUUGGUAAUUACCAGAUUUUUCAGAUACUAGAGCAUUUUGGAAUAGCUUAUGCCAAGAGCUACAAUAUUUUUUUAUUUUCCCAUUUCUUCUCCCAAGUUAAGGCAUAGAACUUAACAGUAAGAGACUGGAAAUAUUAAAAUCAACAAAGCAACAAACUUCCCUCCCACCAAUCAUUCCAAAUUAGAUGGAUUGAUUUAUGUGGGGCCAGCUAAUAGAAAGAAAACUGGUCUUUCUUUCCUUCUCAAGUUUCCUUUUAACCAAAUAAAGGAUUUUUUUUCUUCAUCUCAUCCCUCCUCUCCUCUUCCUUUCCUCCAUUCUUCCACGCAUCCCAACAUGGUGCAACUGUUUGACUUUCUUGAAGCUCUUUUCCUGGAUAUUGGAAAAGAAAAGGG
This 2054-nucleotide unclassified non-coding RNA is filed under the name Hevea brasiliensis (rubber tree). The record is from RNAcentral. Lineage: Eukaryota; Viridiplantae; Streptophyta; Magnoliopsida; Malpighiales; Euphorbiaceae.